This is a non-coding RNA of Parelaphostrongylus tenuis, 73 nucleotides long. The record is from the annotation of a GenBank genome assembly. NCBI's taxonomy places the organism in Eukaryota, Metazoa, Nematoda, Chromadorea, Rhabditida, Metastrongylidae.
GCCUCGAUGGUGUAGUGGUAGAGCACGCGCCCCCGGAUAGGAUGAUGAGCGGGUUCGAUUCCCGUUUGAGGCC